Haemorhous mexicanus (house finch) is the source of this 396-nucleotide long non-coding RNA. RefSeq lists it as uncharacterized. Lineage: Eukaryota; Metazoa; Chordata; Aves; Passeriformes; Fringillidae. The record is from RefSeq and is a predicted model, not a curated record. The transcript is spliced from 3 exons.
CUUAUCAUUUUCAGCUUAAUUAAAAUGUAAGCACCCUGGACCUAGAGGAUCAGCACAGGAACUGAACAGACAUCUCCAAGAUGAAUUUCACAUAGCUGGAAAGCAAUGUUCAUAUGGAUUUAUGCUUUCUUUUAUGCAUGAGAAAAAACUCAGGUGCUGCUGCUGGAAAAGUUUUUGGGGAAGAGUUCUAGCUGUGAAACACAGAAAUGGUGAUGGAUACAGCAGGGGGCCACUAAAGGUUUACUAGGUUCACUUCAUUUCGUACAAAACCAGAGGCAAAUAUGGAGCAGAAGUCUACACAUAAGCAAAACCCCAAAAUAGCCUCCAGCCCCACAACUUUUCUCCUAGAACUGUUUAAUGCAGGAAAAAGCUGAGUGCACAAAGCCACUCCACUGC